This 67-nucleotide transfer RNA is filed under the name Sirsoe methanicola. RNAcentral describes it as "tRNA-Glu". It matches the Rfam family "tRNA". From Rfam's summary of the family: Transfer RNA (tRNA) molecules are approximately 80 nucleotides in length. Their secondary structure includes four short double-helical elements and three loops (D, anti-codon, and T loops). The record is from RNAcentral. Lineage: Eukaryota; Metazoa; Annelida; Polychaeta; Phyllodocida; Hesionidae.
GUACCGGUAGUAUAAAAUAUUACCCUAGCUUUUCACGCAAGAAACAUGAUUUCAAUCAUCCGGUAUU